UACGUAUGGUGCAAGCGUUAUCCGGAUUUACUGGGCGUAAAGGGAGCGCAGGCGGCGCGCCAAGUCUGAUGUGAAACCCCGGGGCUCAACCCCGGGCAUGCAUUGGAAACUGGCGGGCUGGAGUGCCGGAGAGGUAAGCGGAAUUCCUAGUGUAGCAGUGAAAUGCGUAGAUAUUAGGAGGAACACCAGUGGCGAAGGCGGCUUACUGGACGGCAACUGACGCUGAGGCUCGAAAGCGUGGGGAGCAAACAGG
This 253-nucleotide ribosomal RNA is filed under the name uncultured bacterium. RNAcentral's name for it is "partial 16S ribosomal RNA". It matches the Rfam family "Bacterial small subunit ribosomal RNA", at positions 524 to 776 of the family's 1533-position model. The record is from RNAcentral.